GCCAGGUGUGGUGGCGCAUGCCUGUAAUCCCAGCUACUCAGGAGGCUGAGGCAGGAGAAUCGCUUGAACCCAGGAGGCUGAGGUUGCAGUGAGCCGAGAUCGCGCCAUUGCACUCCAGCCUGGGCAACAAGAGCGAAACUCUGUCUCAA
Pongo abelii (Sumatran orangutan) is the source of this 149-nucleotide unclassified non-coding RNA. It matches the Rfam family "Metazoan signal recognition particle RNA". Rfam says of the family: The signal recognition particle (SRP) is a universally conserved ribonucleoprotein. The record is from Ensembl. Lineage: Eukaryota; Metazoa; Chordata; Mammalia; Primates; Hominidae.